This 1726-nucleotide long non-coding RNA is filed under the name Monodelphis domestica (gray short-tailed opossum). RNAcentral describes it as "lncRNA (ENSMODG00000047377.1)". The record is from RNAcentral. Lineage: Eukaryota; Metazoa; Chordata; Mammalia; Didelphimorphia; Didelphidae.
AUGGGGGUCAGCUGGAACCUAAAGGGAGCCGGGAGCACCAGAGGGAGGAGGUUCCCAGCACCAAGGAGGGCCCCAGAGAAGGCCAGAGACAGGCGGCGGCGUCUCCGGGGAGGGGGGCAUCUCCAGGAGGAACGUGGCAGAAGACUGGCGAGGGAGGAGGGGCCACGCUCUGAAGGGCCCAGAGGUGAAAGGGAGCCCCUGGAGUGGACCGAGCGGGAGGCAGGUCGGGCACACGAACUACAGGGAAUUGCUUUGGUGGCUGAAGGAAGGAUCGGAGUGAGGAGAGAGCCGGGCGGAGCUAGCCGGCCACAGGCUCCUGCAAUAGCCCAGGCUCCAAGGGAUGGGGGCAAAGAGGAAGGAAGUCAAUCGGCCUUUCUUGGUCUGUUGGUCUAUCGUCAUACUGGAUCUGCAGGGGGGAGACCUGCAGGGGUCCAGGAUGGCUCUUUGAGGAGGCUGCGCCCCUCGGCAGCAAUGGGGGGGGACGGAGGGGGGAAGAUGCACCUUCAUGCCCUGAAGCCACUCUUAGAGAGGGAAAGGUGGGGUCUGAGGGAAGAGAGCAGCGGCCAGACCCUCCUCCCUUCCCUGCCUCAGCCUUCAAGCUCCUCCAGGGGCCUGAGGUCGGCUGGGAGGCACUGCUCGUCCAGUGGUUACUGCGAGGGAGGCCUGAGCCCAGCCGCUGUCCCGUGCGUCAGCGCAGCCGGCCCUGCGCCUGCCUGCCAGUCUUAGCUUCUGCCUAGACGUCAGGCCGGUCUUAAAGCGCAGACGAGAUGAUGUAACCCGAAGAAGGAAUCCAGAGCGGCUUACAGAGUGCAGACAGAACAUCCCCAAACAUUCCAGCACGAAAUGCGACUCGGGACCCCUUGAGGGACGGCAAAGGCCAAAGUGCAGCGAGGAGGGUCCGAGCCUCCUCCUCCACCACGUGCGGCCCUGGUGCCCGGGUCUCUGCCCCUCCAGGAGUGGCCAUCAGGACUCUGAGGCUUAUCCGCCUUCGAUCCCUUCUUUCUCAGCUGGGCAAAGAGCACGGCGUUCAAGCAUGGGAUCGGAGACGCAAGCCUGGCUUGUCCCAUCCCACCCAGGGACUGGGGAAGGUCCCCGAGCCUCUCUGUUGGCCUAGGAGAGUCCUGCUCUGAGUGGCCCCGACUCCUCUUCCAUCUCUCCACCCUGUGACCGAAGUGCAUCCCGAGAAAAGCUCUUUUCGCACUCACAAAGCAGGUAACAAGAACCUCAGUCUGUACUCUGCGGGCUCCAGCGUUUGCCUCAGUUUACCUUUCUCCCGUUUGCCAUCCAACUUCUCUGGACAGCUUCCCGUCUCCCUCCCAGCAAAAACAGUAUUUACCAGGGGCAAGCACGUGGCCAGACCUUCACCCCUUCGCUCUCCAGCCCCCUUCAGGGGUCGCCUCCUCCCACUGGCACGUGAGCCCCUUUGCUGGGCACGGCGGUGCCCACUUCUAACCCCCGCCCUGGAGGUGCUGAGACAUGGAUCUCGCCAACUCCAGAGUUCAGAGCUACGGCUGGGCUGGCACUGCUGGGAUGUCCUUGCCAAGUGGGGCACAACGUGGCGAGUGCAAGAAGCCUCCAAGCUGGGUGAGGAGGACUGGACCCAGCCAGGGGUCACCACCAGAGCAGACCAAAGGUUCUUGGCAGCACGCCAGGUGGGGUGCGAUAAAGUCUCAUCCAUCCUUGGUGGCUUCCAACGUGCCGGUCACUGGGUCAGGCGGUACCACAG